GUAGGUGAACCUGCGGAAGGAUCAUUGUCGAAUCCUGCAGACGACCGCGAACACGUGAACAAACCGCGGGCAGGCGGGGAGGCCGGGGCGACCUUGCCCUCCUGCCUUGCCCGCACCAAACCUAACUCUCGGCACGGAAAGUGCCAAGGACUACUCAAACGGAUUGCCCGUCUCCGCCGCGGCUUCUGCGGUCGGGGACGCCGGCGUCUGGAACGUAACCAAUACGACUCUCGGCAACGGAUAUCUAGGCUCUCGCAUCGAUGAAGAACGUAGCGAAAUGCGAUACUUGGUGUGAAUUGCAGAAUCCCGUGAACCAUCGAGUUUUUGAACGCAAGUUGCGCCCGAAGCCAUUAGGCUGAGGGCACGUCUGCCUGGGCGUCACGCAUCUCGUCGCCACCCCGUCUCCCCGCGGGGGAGAAGGGGCGGCGGAUGUUGGCCUCCCGUGCCCCCGGGCGCGGCCGGCCCAAAUGCGAGUCCUCGGCUCGGGACGUCACGACUAGUGGUGGUUGAACCCUCGAUUGCUCUCAAGUCUUGACGGCCCCCCGACGGGCUGGAACGACCCUAGA
Molecule: unclassified non-coding RNA, 566 nt
Filed under: Plocama dubia
Lineage: Eukaryota; Viridiplantae; Streptophyta; Magnoliopsida; Gentianales; Rubiaceae
Also listed under: 1 other name
Description: sequence contains 18S rRNA gene, ITS1, 5.8S rRNA gene, ITS2
Rfam family: 5.8S ribosomal RNA (bases 226-381)
Source: RNAcentral